GCAUGGUUGUCGUCAGCUCGUGUCGUGAGAUGUUGGUUAAGUCCCGCAACGAGCGCAACCCUUAUUGUUAGUUGCCAUCAUUAAGUUGGGCACUCUAACGAGACUGCCGGUGACAAACCGGAGGAAGGUGGGGAUGACGUCAAAUCAUCAUGCCCUUUAUGUCCUGGGCUACACACGUGCUACAAUGGCCAGAACAGAGGGUUGCUAAGGGGCAACCUGGAGCUAAUCCCUUAAAACUGGUCUCAGUUCGGAUUGCAGGCUGAAAUUCGCCUGCAUGAAGUCGGGAUCGCUAGUAAUCGCGGAUCAGCAUGCCGCGGUGAAUACGUUCCCGGGCCUU
Molecule: ribosomal RNA, 337 nt
Filed under: uncultured Dethiobacter sp.
Lineage: Bacteria; Bacillati; Bacillota; Dethiobacteria; Dethiobacterales; Dethiobacteraceae
Description: bacterial SSU rRNA
Rfam family: Bacterial small subunit ribosomal RNA
Source: RNAcentral